RNAcentral lists this ribosomal RNA (1335 nucleotides) under Limosilactobacillus reuteri. RNAcentral's name for it is "bacterial SSU rRNA". It matches the Rfam family "Bacterial small subunit ribosomal RNA", at positions 62 to 1386 of the family's 1533-position model. The record is from RNAcentral. Lineage: Bacteria; Bacillati; Bacillota; Bacilli; Lactobacillales; Lactobacillaceae.
UUGCACCUGAUUGACGAUGGAUCACCAGUGAGUGGCGGACGGGUGAGUAACACGUAGGUAACCUGCCCCGGAGCGGGGGAUAACAUUUGGAAACAGAUGCUAAUACCGCAUAACAACAAAAGCCACAUGGCUUUUGUUUGAAAGAUGGCUUUGGCUAUCACUCUGGGAUGGACCUGCGGUGCAUUAGCUAGUUGGUAAGGUAACGGCUUACCAAGGCGAUGAUGCAUAGCCGAGUUGAGAGACUGAUCGGCCACAAUGGAACUGAGACACGGUCCAUACUCCUACGGGAGGCAGCAGUAGGGAAUCUUCCACAAUGGGCGCAAGCCUGAUGGAGCAACACCGCGUGAGUGAAGAAGGGUUUCGGCUCGUAAAGCUCUGUUGUUGGAGAAGAACGUGCGUGAGAGUAACUGUUCACGCAGUGACGGUAUCCAACCAGAAAGUCACGGCUAACUACGUGCCAGCAGCCGCGGUAAUACGUAGGUGGCAAGCGUUAUCCGGAUUUAUUGGGCGUAAAGCGAGCGCAGGCGGUCGCUUAGGUCUGAUGUGAAAGCCUUCGGCUUAACCGAAGAAGUGCAUCGGAAACCGGGCGACUUGAGUGCAGAAGAGGACAGUGGAACUCCAUGUGUAGCGGUGGAAUGCGUAGAUAUAUGGAAGAACACCAGUGGCGAAGGCGGCUGUCUGGUCUGCAACUGACGCUGAGGCUCGAAAGCAUGGGUAGCGAACAGGAUUAGAUACCCUGGUAGUCCAUGCCGUAAACGAUGAGUGCUAGGUGUUGGAGGGUUUCCGCCCUUCAGUGCCGGAGCUAACGCAUUAAGCACUCCGCCUGGGGAGUACGACCGCAAGGUUGAAACUCAAAGGAAUUGACGGGGGCCCGCACAAGCGGUGGAGCAUGUGGUUUAAUUCGAAGCUACGCGAAGAACCUUACCAGGUCUUGACAUCUUGCGCUAACCUUAGAGAUAAGGCGUUCCCUUCGGGGACGCAAUGACAGGUGGUGCAUGGUCGUCGUCAGCUCGUGUCGUGAGAUGUUGGGUUAAGUCCCGCAACGAGCGCAACCCUUGUUACUAGUUGCCAGCAUUAAGUUGGGCACUCUAGUGAGACUGCCGGUGACAAACCGGAGGAAGGUGGGGACGACGUCAGAUCAUCAUGCCCCUUAUGACCUGGGCUACACACGUGCUACAAUGGACGGUACAACGAGUCGCAAGCUCGCGAGAGUAAGCUAAUCUCUUAAAGCCGUUCUCAGUUCGGACUGUAGGCUGCAACUCGCCUACACGAAGUCGGAAUCGCUAGUAAUCGCGGAUCAGCAUGCCGCGGUGAAUACGUUCCCGGGCCUUGUAC